RNAcentral lists this ribosomal RNA (497 nucleotides) under uncultured bacterium. RNAcentral's name for it is "partial 16S ribosomal RNA". It matches the Rfam family "Bacterial small subunit ribosomal RNA", at positions 28 to 507 of the family's 1533-position model. The record is from RNAcentral.
GAUGAACGCUGGCGGCGUGCCUAAUACAUGCAAGUCGAGCGAACAGAUAAGGAGCUUGCUCCUUUGAUGUUAGCGGCGGACGGGUGAGUAACACGUGGGUAACCUACCUAUAAGACUGGGAUAACUUCGGGAAACCGGAGCUAAUACCGGAUAACAUUUGGAACCGCAUGGUUCUAAAGUGAAAGAUGGUUUUGCUAUCACUUAUAGAUGGACCCGCGCCGUAUUAGCUAGUUGGUAAGGUAACGGCUUACCAAGGCAACGAUACGUAGCCGACCUGAGAGGGUGAUCGGCCACACUGGAACUGAGACACGGUCCAGACUCCUACGGGAGGCAGCAGUAGGGAAUCUUCCGCAAUGGGCGAAAGCCUGACGGAGCAACGCCGCGUGAGUGAUGAAGGGUUUCGGCUCGUAAAACUCUGUUAUUAGGGAAGAACAAACGUGUAAGUAACUGUGCACGUCUUGACGGUACCUAAUCAGAAAGCCACGGCUAACUACGUG